UGCAUUGGAGAGCGAUACAAAAGUGCUGGCUUUUGAACUGCACUUGCUUGCCACAAAGCAUCAGGUGCCCUCAAGAGUACUGGGAAGAAUGCCGACAAACUAAAAAAAUGGAGAGACUUUAACAAAUUAAGGAGCACUAGGAGCUGCAGUCCCUCCUCUUCACCGACAUCUAAGUAGAAAAUCU
Molecule: long non-coding RNA, 184 nt
Organism: Zingiber officinale
Lineage: Eukaryota; Viridiplantae; Streptophyta; Magnoliopsida; Zingiberales; Zingiberaceae
Exons: 3
Source: RefSeq, a predicted model, not a curated record